Molecule: small RNA, 1247 nt
Filed under: Malus domestica (apple)
Lineage: Eukaryota; Viridiplantae; Streptophyta; Magnoliopsida; Rosales; Rosaceae
Description: sRNA MD04G0138800
Source: RNAcentral
AUGGUAUUAGCUCAUAACCAAGUACUCCGCUCUAAAUCUCAUUUAUUUCUAACAAAUAAAGUGAUGUUUGUACGACCUUCCACAGAAAGCGAUCCUAAUAUUUCAGAUUGGCAAAAGUUAACAUACAAUUUAAACACUAUCGUCAACUAGUAAAGCUAGAGAAAAAGAUCAUUUUAUGUUGAGACAAAAAUAUAAAAACUGACAAUGAUACAAUAACGCUAUUAUUAAUUUAAAGGUAAAUUACAUUUUACACAUUUAAAUCCGUUAAAAAAUCUUUUAAAUUUACUGUUAAAUAAUAACGUGACACAUUUUGAUCUACAUUUGUGUGAUGAUAUAACUGCCAACUUUGCGCCAAGUGGAUAAAAACAAAUUAAAAAUUAAUUAAUUAAAAAAAAAGUAGGCCCACCAACCCAGCCAUCCUCACCCUACUCCAUCCAUCCAUCCUCACCCAAUUACCAACCUCAUAUGCCCUAGACCAAGCUAGGCUACCCAUACCACGCCCUACACCACCACCAACACCAUUACGGAGUGAUCGUAGGACCUUCUUCCACCACCACCCCACCACCCGUCCCCGCCCCGACCCGAAUUUGCUCUGAGCAGCCAUAGGAGGAAAACCCACCCAAAGCGAUCAAAUCAGCCGCGUACACCAGCAAGGACACCCGCCUAGAGAAAGUUAUAGGUGUCUGCGAGGGCCUAUUUGCAGACAUGGUUGAUAGGCUCAACGACUCACUGCCCUCCAUGGAUGUGAAUUAGGGCGAGAAGCUUCUCUCCGCGGCCAAAAUCAACGACGCUCUGGUGGAUCUCAAUACGACCCUCGUUCAAGAAUUCAAAGCGUUCACCGGAGGCUGCUCGGGGUCGGAGGAUCUGAGAUGGGUUUUUGGGGUUGGGUUAGUCCGAAGGAUAGGAGGCUGCUGCAGGACAACAAUGCGACGGCCUCCAGAUAGUGGUGGCUACUGGCGAAGAACAGGAUCAGAGAUGCGAACACGAUUCAGGAGGUGAUGGAGGCCAUGGAUGAUCGAAGAAGAGAAUGUAUUGAUGGAGAAGAUGAAGUGAUAUUUUGAUUUGGAAAGGGAUCCUUUUAAUCCACCAAGUUCGGGAUUCGUACUGUUUCAACAGUUAUAAUUAUUAUAAUUUUUAAAAGGGUUUCCUGUUUCAGUCGUUAGAUUAAAUUUCAACGAUUUAGAUCACAAACUUGAUGGAUUAGAUGGAACGGAAUUCAUUUUAGAUUUGUUUUGAUUUAAUAUUAU